RNAcentral lists this ribosomal RNA (229 nucleotides) under uncultured bacterium. RNAcentral describes it as "partial 16S ribosomal RNA". It matches the Rfam family "Bacterial small subunit ribosomal RNA", at positions 568 to 796 of the family's 1533-position model. The record is from RNAcentral.
UCCGUAGGCGGGCCAUUAAGUCAGGGGUGAAAGUCUGCGGCUCAACCGUAGAAUCGCCUUUGAUACUGGUGGUCUUGAGUUAUGGUGAAGUGGCUGGAAUAUGUAGUGUAGCGGUGAAAUGCAUAGAUAUUACAUAGAACACCGAUUGCGAAGGCAGGUCACUAACCAUAUACUGACGCUGAUGGACGAAAGCGUGGGGAGCGAACAGGAUUAGAUACCCUGGUAGUCC